UUACGGCCACAUCACCUUGAAACAACAGUUCGUACAAUCACCAAAGUUAAACAAUGUCGAGCCUGGUUAGUACCUUGAUGGGUGGCCCACUGGGAAUACCAGUUGCUGUAAG
Acanthosepion pharaonis is the source of this 112-nucleotide non-coding RNA. Lineage: Eukaryota; Metazoa; Mollusca; Cephalopoda; Sepiida; Sepiidae. The record is from the annotation of a GenBank genome assembly.